AAUCUGUGUUGUGGGCACUUUUAAAUUAACAUCUUAAAACACUUCUAAGCUUCUUGAAAGCUUUCCCCCUCUAACUGUUUAAACAUUGAAAUUUCCCUUCUUAGUUU
Molecule: non-coding RNA, 107 nt
Organism: Gossypium hirsutum (cotton)
Lineage: Eukaryota; Viridiplantae; Streptophyta; Magnoliopsida; Malvales; Malvaceae
Source: Rfam